GAAAUUUGGUGUUAAUGCAUGUUAGAGACAUAGUAUAAUGGACUAUGCUCAUGAAACAUACCACACACAAAAGAAUAUGCAAAAGUGGUGGCCUAAUCUCAUCCAUACUUAUGUUGAUUUUGCAAUCAACUAGCCUUAGGACGUAGAGAUAUCAUAGGUCCAUGACAUGAAUGCAUAAAGAAUGGGAAUGAGAUGAAGAGGGAGGGAAGAUAGAUCAAAAUCAAAUUGGACAAAAGAGGGCUUUUACCAAAUUAAGAUCAUU
This 262-nucleotide long non-coding RNA is filed under the name Lathyrus oleraceus (garden pea). RNAcentral describes it as "Pisum sativum (pea) long non-coding RNA (PSAT_LNC028646)". The record is from RNAcentral. Lineage: Eukaryota; Viridiplantae; Streptophyta; Magnoliopsida; Fabales; Fabaceae.